RNAcentral lists this ribosomal RNA (326 nucleotides) under uncultured eukaryote. Its description in RNAcentral is "partial 18S ribosomal RNA". It matches the Rfam family "Eukaryotic small subunit ribosomal RNA", at positions 1470 to 1796 of the family's 1831-position model. The record is from RNAcentral.
CCCUUAGACGUUCUGGGCCGCACGCGCGCUACACUGACCAGUGCAACAAGCAUCCGUCCUUGGCCGACAGGCCCGGGCAAUCUUUGAACGCUGGUCGUGAUGGGGAUAGACUUUUGCAAUUUUUGGUCUUCAACGAGGAAUUCCUAGUAAACGCAAGUCAUCAACUUGCAUUGAUUACGUCCCUGCCCUUUGUACACACCGCCCGUCGCUCCUACCGAUUGAAUGAUCCGGUGAAAUUCAUGGACCUUUGUGUUUGGAGGUUUCUCUUUACACCAAAAGAAAAGUGAAUUAAACCUUAUCAUUUAGAGGAAGGAGAAGUCGUAACA